UAUAGGGGGAGGCUGGUGAGAAUGGACUGAAGGGUGACACAGGAGAAAAGGGUGACCCUGGCUCUUCUGCAGCUGGAAUUAAGGGUGAACCUGGUGAAUCUGGGCGGCCUGGACAAAAGGUACUACUUGGAAAUGUUCAGUUUUCCUUUUCUGAUGGAUUUGUAAUAAACGAUGUUACAUCUGUGUUACCAGUGGCACUUAACUGCACGGGGAUGA
This 216-nucleotide long non-coding RNA is filed under the name Lonchura striata (white-rumped munia). RNAcentral's name for it is "domestica (Bengalese finch) lncRNA (ENSLSDG00000012629.1)". Lineage: Eukaryota; Metazoa; Chordata; Aves; Passeriformes; Estrildidae. The record is from RNAcentral.